UGCUUCAUUGCCAUUCUGCAU
Molecule: non-coding RNA, 21 nt
Filed under: Caenorhabditis elegans
Lineage: Eukaryota; Metazoa; Nematoda; Chromadorea; Rhabditida; Rhabditidae
Source: RNAcentral